This 497-nucleotide ribosomal RNA is filed under the name uncultured bacterium. Its description in RNAcentral is "partial 16S ribosomal RNA". It matches the Rfam family "Bacterial small subunit ribosomal RNA", at positions 28 to 507 of the family's 1533-position model. The record is from RNAcentral.
GAUGAACGCUGGCGGCGUGCCUAAUACAUGCAAGUCGAGCGAACAGACGAGGAGCUUGCUCCUCUGACGUUAGCGGCGGACGGGUGAGUAACACGUGGAUAACCUACCUAUAAGACUGGGAUACCUUCGGGAAACCGGAGCUAAUACCGGAUAAUAUAUUGAACUGCAUGGUUCAAUAGUGAAAGACGGUUUUGCUGUCACUUAUAGAUGGAUCCGCGCCGCAUUAGCUAGUUGGUAAGGUAACGGCUUACCAAGGCAACGAUGCGUAGCCGACCUGAGAGGGUGGACGGCCAGACGGGAACAGAGACACGGUCCAGACUCCUACAGGAGGCAGCAGUAGGGAAUCUUCCGCAAUGGGCGAAUGCGGGACGGAGCAACGCCGCGUGAGUGAUGAAGGUCUUCGGAUCGUAAAACUCUGUUAGUAGGGAAGAACAAAAGUGUAAGUAACUAUGCACGUCUUGACGGUACCUAAACAGAAAGCCACGGCUAACUACGUG